This 3471-nucleotide ribosomal RNA is filed under the name Triticum aestivum (bread wheat). Its description in RNAcentral is "partial small subunit ribosomal RNA". Lineage: Eukaryota; Viridiplantae; Streptophyta; Magnoliopsida; Poales; Poaceae. The record is from RNAcentral.
AUGGCCCAAGCCAUCGUGGAGAGGGCAUGCGCGAAGCUCAGAUCCGCCAUAGGAGAUGAAGCCGUGGUGCGUUUGAACUUUACCACUGACCUGCAUGAUUUGUUGGAGGCGCUGGAGGACAUCCAGCCGUUUCUGGACAAAGCCGUGAUGCGGCCGUUCCGGGAUAGCUGGCUGUCGCUUUGGCUGGGGGGUGCCUUGAACGCCGCCUACAAGACCAUAGACACUGUGGAUGAGCUGCAGGACGCGAGAUCUGCAACGAUGACGAGAAGGAUGAAGAAUGCAUUGGCCAUCCAGGUGCAGGAGGCGAAAAAACUAGUGAUGUGGGCAUAUGAGCAGUCGCCUGAGUUAUCAUACUACUUCACGGAAAACCCCAUGCUCCACGGAAUUGCUGAUGUGGAACGAAAAACCGGACCAGUUUUUGAGGAAGCAAUGGUUCUGGAAAGAGGAUCAGAUAAACAGAGGAUAAUGGCCACCCUGCUAUCUACUGAGCCCAACACCAUGCAAGAGCACAUCACCAUUCUUCCCAUCUUUGGGCUUGCAGGCAGCGGCAAGACAACCUUGGCACAAAUGGUUUUUAAUGAUACCCACUCCGUCCAAGGCUAUGACUUCCGAGUAUGGAUUCAUGUGUUUACCAGGUUUGACUUUCAUGCAAUAGGCAACUCCAUUAUUUGUCAGGUGUUAGGAAUGGGACAAGAAGAGAUCAACCAUUCUUCUUCAGACGUGCAGGGGAUGGAAAGUAUAAUGAAGCGCCUUCACAAGCUACUUAAUGGUAAGAAGGUGCUCCUUGUUUUGGAUAGCUUGUGGGAGGAGGAUCCCAUUCAGUUACAAUUGUUGAAAUCCAUGUUAACUUUCUUGGGAGACAAGAUGGACGUAAUAGUAACCACAUGCAACCAAGCCAUUGCCAGGAAGAUAUGCACUGUUGAGCCAUAUAAGCCAAAUCGGUUGAGUGAUGACAUGUGUUGGAAAAUAAUCAAGGAUUUUAUCCCACCAUUCAAAGGGGGAGAAGAAGAGUUGGAGAAGAUUGGACGGGAGAUCGCAAGCAAGUGCCAGGGUAUACCAUCAGUAGCUCGAGCAUAUGCACCCCUGCUAGCUUCUUCCCGAAAUACUAUGACAUGGAAAGAAGCCAUGGAAAGGAAUACUUGGCUUGCAAUUUUGACUUCUCAUUUAGUAGUUCCCUUAGCCGUUUCAAGUUUCCAGCUAAGCUUCUGGAGUAUGCCACCAAAUUUGUGUCUAUGCUUUGCUUAUUAUUGUGAUAUCUUCCCAACCAGACACACUAUAUUCAAAGAUGACCUGGUUCAUCACUGGAUUGCUCUCCACCUCAUUGAGCCAUCUGAAAUAUUGUCUGCCACGCAGAUAGCUGAGGACUAUAUUACCAGGCUUCAGGACAUGUCAUUCCUUCAAACUGCAGAGUUGGACCACGCUAGUGGAAAAGACGAUAAGGGUGCAAUCUUGUUCACUAUGCACGAUGUGGUGCACGACCUUGCGACAGUGCUCCUAAAAAGGUACAGUAUUAGUCGAAGGGCAACGCGCUGUGUUGAUUGUAGCAGAGUGGAGUUUAACAGUGACUCAUUUUCACGUAAAAAAUGCAUACGUGUUCUGGAACUAAAGGACAGCUCCGUGCAGAAGCUACCGGACUCCAUCUGUCAACUGAGGCACCUGGGGUAUCUUAUGAUAUCAGAAUUCACUGGGUUGACAACUCUGCCAGAGUCCCUUGGGCAUCUGAAAAGUCUGUUCCAUAUUGAUUUAUCAGGCUGCUCCAGGCUUGCAGCUCUUCCGGAAUCAUUUGGAGAUCUCAUAAACUUGACCCAUGUCAAUCUAUCUCGAUGCCAUGGACUGGCAGAGCUUUCAGAACCACUCCAGAAGCUCCGCAAACUGGUAUACCUGGAUUUAUCGUUCUGUUCUUGUUUUGAAGGGAUAGGGGAAGGCCUUCGCCGCCUCACCAAUCUGGAGCAUUUGAACUUGUCGAAUCCUUGCUGUUAUGUUGCUCAACACCAUUCUCAUCUCCAGGGGCUAAAAGAUGGUUUGUGCAAGCUCACCAAACUCCGGUAUCUGAACUUGUCAAUGUGCCUGAACCCUAUCUUUUACUGCCACAAGUCGCAAGAGGACAGUCUCAAAUACCUUCAAGAGUGUGUCAGCGGUCUUUCUAGGCUAGAGCAUUUGGACCUGUCUCAUAACACAUUUCUUUUUGAUCUGCCUGAAAGUCUAGGUAACAUCAGCAGGCUACACACACUGGAUCUCUUAGGCUGCAUCAGAAUCAAGAAGGUAGGUGAAACGAAGUGUCUCAAGAUUAUAAUAGAUCUGAGCAAAUGCCGGGGUCUGGAAAGUUGCCAACUUGUAGUCCGUGUUGAUGAAGUGGCAUGCAGCAACACAAGCAGCCUUGCCCAACUCGAGGUUGUGGACUGUAAAGAGCUGGAGAUAAGCUGCCUUGAGAGGCUGAAGUCUCUGGACGAAGCACGGAGGAUAAGAUUAGUGGAGAAACAAAAGGUAGAAAGGUUGAAGCUCUGCUGGACAGUUGGUGCCGCUCAAGGAUCAAUGCAGGUGGAGGAAAAUGCUCUGUUAGGAGAACUAGUGCCACCACAUUCUCUACAGUGCCUCCAGAUAUGUGGCUAUGGUGGCGAAACCUGCCUCCCUGCCUGGCGGAUACCAAGCAUAUCAUAUCAUCUCCGUAAUCUUACAGAGGUUACCAUGGAGGACUUCUCGAGGUGCAUUGUACUGCCGCCGCUGGGUCUGUUUCCAAACCUCCAGCGCCUUGUUCUCAGAAGGAUGGCCAGAAUCACAAGGAUCGAUGCCGGUGAACUGAGUGGAGGCAACAAAGAGGCAUUCACUCGACUCUCCAAAUUCACCAUAGAUGAUAUGGAGAACCUGAAAGAGUUUGAGUUUGCCGCUGUUGAUGAGCUGGCGAUUCAGAAAUGCCCCUUGUUGAGCUGUGGAUCUCUACCACCCAGAGCUCAGAGGUUGCUGAUAUCAGACUGUGAGCAACUAAUGUCUUCAUCGGUAGGAGGAAUAGAUGGUGUGGAGGGUCCUUCUGCUCCAGUAACUGAACUGGUGGUCCAAACCUGCAACUUGGCUUUAGGUGACUGGAGUUUGCUUCACCACCUCCCUGGUCUCUGCAGCUUGACUAUCAACAACUGCUACAAUCUAACCAGCUCACCGGAGAUUAUCAGCGCCCUGUCCUCUCUCCAGUCACUAUGUUUCUAUCAGUGCCAUGAGCCUAUGGAAUCACUACCAGUGUUCUUGUGUGACCUCACCUCCCUCCAGCAACUUGCGAUCGAUGAGUGCCAUGGCGUUCAAUCUUUGCCGGAGGACAUGUUAGCCAAGCUAACUAGCCUCGAAGCUCUGUAUAUUUGGGACUGUCCUGAAUUGAAGGAGUGGUGUGAAUCAGAGGAGAACAAACAGAAGCUCGCUCACAUCCUAAUAAAAUUUGAAAAAUUUGGUACGAGCAAGACUGGCGUGCAUCCCCCAGAAAUGUAA